This 696-nucleotide ribosomal RNA is filed under the name uncultured Bacteroidales bacterium. RNAcentral describes it as "bacterial SSU rRNA". It matches the Rfam family "Bacterial small subunit ribosomal RNA", at positions 47 to 734 of the family's 1533-position model. The record is from RNAcentral. Lineage: Bacteria; Pseudomonadati; Bacteroidota; Bacteroidia; Bacteroidales.
CUUAACACAUGCAAGUCGAGGGGCAUCAGGAAGAAAGCUUGCUUUCUUUGCUGGCGACCGGCGCACGGGUGAGUAACACGUAUCCAACCUGCCCUUUACUCGGGGAUAGCCUUUCGAAAGAAAGAUUAAUACCCGAUAGCAUAAUGAUUCCGCAUGGUUUCAUUAUUAAAGGAUUCCGGUAAAGGAUGGGGAUGCGUUCCAUUAGGUUGUUGGUGAGGUAACGGCCCACCAAGCCUUCGAUGGAUAGGGGUUCUGAGAGGAAGGUCCCCCACAUUGGAACUGAGACACGGUCCAAACUCCUACGGGAGGCAGCAGUGAGGAAUAUUGGUCAAUGGGCGCUAGCCUGAACCAGCCAAGUAGCGUGAAGGAUGAAGGCUCUAUGGGUCGUAAACUUCUUUUAUAUAAGAAUAAAGUGCAGUAUGUAUACUGUUUUGUAUGUAUUAUAUGAAUAAGGAUCGGCUAACUCCGUGCCAGCAGCCGCGGUAAUACGGAGGAUCCGAGCGUUAUCCGGAUUUAUUGGGUUUAAAGGGAGCGUAGGUGGACUGGUAAGUCAGUUGUGAAAGUUUGCGGCUCAACCGUAAAAUUGCAGUUGAUACUGUCAGUCUUGAGUACAGUAGAGGUGGGCGGAAUUCGUGGUGUAGCGGUGAAAUGCUUAGAUAUCACGAAGACUCCGAUUGCGAAGGCAGCUCACUGGAC